Molecule: non-coding RNA, 23 nt
Filed under: Cricetulus griseus (Chinese hamster)
Lineage: Eukaryota; Metazoa; Chordata; Mammalia; Rodentia; Cricetidae
Source: RNAcentral
AGACCCAGGAGAUCUGAACUUGC